CAUGCUAGAUAAUCCUCCUAGAUCAUUAUUAGAUGCAACUUGUUACCUAUCUGGCAAUUCCACCUCUCCUCAAUAAUGUUAGUAUAUUCGUCAGCAUGAUUUGGAUCCACUUGUUUCAUCUUGGCCUUGAUUUGAUAGUCAUCAUCAUAUGAUUCAAGAAGCUUAUUUGGAGGUUCGUCUCACAAUUCACAACCCUUAGCACUCGAUCUUCCAUGCCACAAGCAUAUUUGCUCUCAUGCCACUAUGCACUCAACGAACAUCUGGAUAGGUCACCUUUCUUAUGCACUGUAGUAUGUGGCGAAGCAUGUGCUAGCUUCAGUAUCUCACCCCUGUUGUGAUUCCUUAUGUGAGCCAGCAUCCAUAUGUGGGUUAUAUGUCACUUGCAGUCUUGUCUUUAUCUAUCAGUAUUAGGUCAUAUAGUGGACUGCAAAGAGAUCCAUAAAAUGCACAGCCUCCCGAUCA
RNAcentral lists this long non-coding RNA (462 nucleotides) under Phoenix dactylifera (date palm). RNAcentral describes it as "long non-coding RNA (PDAC_LNC008205)". The record is from RNAcentral. Lineage: Eukaryota; Viridiplantae; Streptophyta; Magnoliopsida; Arecales; Arecaceae.